CCUACGGGAGGCAGCAGUGGGGAAUAUUGCACAAUGGGGGAAACCCUGAUGCAGCGACGCCGCGUGAGUGAAGAAGUAUUUCGGUAUGUAAAGCUCUAUCAGCAGGGAAGAAAUACUGACCUUACGGUCAGCAGACGGUACCUGACUAAGAAGCCCCGGCUAACUACGUGCCAGCAGCCGCGGUAAUACGUAGGGGGCAAGCGUUAUCCGGAUUUACUGGGGGUAAAGGGAGCGUAGACGGCAGCGCAAGUCUGAAGUGAAAUCCCAUGGCUUAACCAUGGAACUGCUUUGGAGACUGUGCAGCUGGAGUGCAGGAGAGGUAAGCGGAAUGCCUAGUGUAGCGGUGAAAUGCGUAGAUAUUAGGAGGAACACCAGUGGCGAAGGCGGCUUACUGGACUGUAACUGACGUUGAGGCUCGAAAGCGUGGGGAGCAAACAGGAUUAGAUACCCGUGUAGUC
Molecule: ribosomal RNA, 458 nt
Filed under: uncultured bacterium
Lineage: Bacteria
Description: partial 16S ribosomal RNA
Rfam family: Bacterial small subunit ribosomal RNA
Source: RNAcentral